CCUACGGGAGACAGCAGUAGGGAAUAUUGCUCAAUGGGGGAAACCCUGAAGCAGCAACGCCGCGUGGAGGAUGAAGGUUUUCGGAUUGUAAACUCCUUUUGUUAGAGAAGAUAAUGACGGUAUCUAACGAAUAAGCACCGGCUAACUCCGUGCCAGCAGCCGCGGUAAUACGGAGGGUGCAAGCGUUACUCGGAAUCACUGGGCGUAACGAGCGCGUAGGAGGGAUAGCAAGUCAGAUGUGAAAUCCUAUGGCUUAACCAUAGAACUGCAUUUGAAACUGUUAUUCUAGAGUAUGGGAGAGGUAGGUGGAAUUCUUGGUGUAGGGGUAAAAUCCGUAGAGAUCAAGAGGAAUACUCAUUGCGAAGGCGACCUGCUAGAACAUAACUGACGCUGAUGCGCGAAAGCGUGGGGAGCAAACAGGAUUAGAUACCCGAGUAGUC
This 440-nucleotide ribosomal RNA is filed under the name uncultured bacterium. RNAcentral describes it as "partial 16S ribosomal RNA". It matches the Rfam family "Bacterial small subunit ribosomal RNA", at positions 338 to 795 of the family's 1533-position model. The record is from RNAcentral.